Molecule: long non-coding RNA, 1866 nt
Organism: Oncorhynchus nerka (sockeye salmon)
Lineage: Eukaryota; Metazoa; Chordata; Actinopteri; Salmoniformes; Salmonidae
Exons: 3
Source: RefSeq, a predicted model, not a curated record
UCGUUGUUAGCAGGGACGUCGCUAGGCCUAUUGGCCCCUCCCCCUACUUAUAAAUCAAUAUAUCAGUCAAUAUAUAUUUUUUCCGUCAACCGUUCCAUCGCAUCUUAAACCUCUUACCUGACCGGCACUAGGACCUGGGGGAGGCUGCUGCUGCGGAGGCUGAUGCACAUGCUACUGACUGUUAGACUUUCUUCAGUGAAGAUGGCUGACAAAAAUUAUAAUAUUUUUUAAACUUAAUUAACAACAAAUCAAUACAGGAAGUACAUGUGGGAACACAAGUGUAUAUAUAAAUAAUAUACAAAGGACAAUUGGGCUAGGGGCGGGGCUAGGGGGUACAAUAUCACAUUACAUAAGGACCCUUAAGGGACAUACAUACACUUACAAUUCUAACAGCUUUUAUGUUAGUAGAGUAUUUAAUUAUUUUAAGACACAGUUCAAUUUCUUUUUUGUAAGGUACUAGGAUGGAGGCAAAAGGACUCCUGAAACAACCAGCAAACCAGGCUGUCGUCUUGUGAAACAGUGGAUGUAAAGAAUCUUGCUAAAGUAUUUACUGCUAAUUGAAUGUACCAUUUUGUAAGCUUGUCUUGCUGAGAUUUGCCAUGCAAUGCAUAGAUGAAAUAACGUAACUACUGAAAUAACGUAACUACUGAAAUAAGGUAACUACUGAAAUAAAGUAACUAUUGAAAUAACGUAACUACUGAAAUAACGUAACUACUGAAAUAACGUAACUACUGAAAUAACGUAACUACUGAAAUAACGUAACUACUGAAAUAACGUAACUACUGAAAUAACGUAACUACUGAAAUAACGUAGCUAUUGAAGUAACGUAGCUAUUGAAAUAACGUAACUAUCGAUGGUCUUGCUUAUUGUUCAGUGGAUGAUACAAAUCCCUGUAUGCCUAUGGAUGUGUAGCUAGCUAUCGAGCCGAUCUGUGUGUGGACCCAAACGUUUGGUAUACAUAUUAGUUCAGAACUGAGCUAUGAACCUCAGCUAUCAUGUAUCAACUUCAAAACAGUCUGAAUGACAUUAAUGAAGCCUAUGGAUUGAGUAGAAUAUAAUAUAACUUUGUGGCAAGGAUGCAAGUCGUGGCCAAAAUACUAACUAAUAGACUAGAAACAGGAUUGAACUCGUUAAAGGCUGAUUUGUAAUAGUUUUAUACAGAUAUAAUUUAAACGGUACACUACACUUCCUAUGCAUGUAAAUACCCUAAAAACCAGUUCAUCUCAACAUCUAAUGCCCUUCAUCUGCAUUGAUCUGAUAAACACAGGAUAGCUGGAGUAUUUCAUCAAAUUAGAGACUUAAUGUCAACCAGUAGAGAAUGUAAAAUGCUUUAUUGAAAUAAGCUCAUUAUCCAAGUGUUAUAAAUACAAGUUGGAUUUGUACUUCAUUAUAAAACAGAGGAAGAAAGAGGUGUAAAAACACCAAAGGAAAGAGGUCAAACACAGGAGCAGGGAAGGCAGCAUAUGAUUAAUGAAUCACAGUGCUACAUAAAUAUUCUCAGUUAUAAAUACAUAAUAUAUUAUAAUUGUAAUAUUAUAACUAAGUUCAAUCUGUACUUCAAUGCACAUCUGUUGUGCAGUAUAAAAACAGGAAGAAAGGUGGUAGGAGAGGUGUAAAAUACAGAGAAAUAGGUAAGAACAGAGGCAGACCGCAUAUGAUUAAUGAAUCACAGUGCUACCCAAAUAUUCUCUUAGUUUAUCACAAUUACAUAAUAGUGUCUAGUCGGCCCGAAGGUAAUCUUAAGAGCGGAUGAGGUGGCAAUGACGGAAUUGGGGGUUGGCUUCCUCUCUCACAUCAAAACAUACCUGCAGACGAGAGACAGAUGGAUAGAGAGAGAGUAUGAUUAAGCCUUGUGUUUUUUAUUCU